GAUGAACGCUGGCGGCGUGCCUAACACAUGCAAGUCGAACGGACUUAGAUGAAACCUAGUGAUUCUAAGUUAGUGGCGGACGGGUGAGUAACGCGUGGGUAAACCUGCCCUAUACCGGGGGAUAACACUUAGAAAUAGGUGCUAAUACCGCAUAAGCGCACAGCUUUGCAUGAAGCAGUGUGAAAAACUCCGGUGGUAUAGGAUGGACCCGNGUCUGAUUAGCUAGUUGGUGAGGUAACGGCCCACCAAGGCGACGAUCAGUAGCCGGCCUGAGAGGGUGACCGGCCACAUUGGGACUGAGACACGGCCCAAAACUCCCUAACGGGAGGCAGCAGUGGGGAAUAUUGGGCAAUGGGCGCAAGCCUGACCCAGCAACGCCGCGUGAA
RNAcentral lists this ribosomal RNA (386 nucleotides) under uncultured bacterium. RNAcentral's name for it is "bacterial SSU rRNA". It matches the Rfam family "Bacterial small subunit ribosomal RNA", at positions 28 to 405 of the family's 1533-position model. The record is from RNAcentral.